Molecule: transfer RNA, 74 nt
Filed under: Thermoplasmata archaeon
Lineage: Archaea; Methanobacteriati; Thermoplasmatota; Thermoplasmata
Also listed under: 2 other names
Description: tRNA-Val
Rfam family: tRNA
About the family: Transfer RNA (tRNA) molecules are approximately 80 nucleotides in length.
Source: RNAcentral
GGGCCCAUGGUCUAGCUGGUUAUGACGUCGCCCUCACACGGCGGAGGUCCGGGGUUCGAGUCCCCGUGGGCCCA